GUGACCUGCGGAAGGAUCAUUA
RNAcentral lists this ribosomal RNA (22 nucleotides) under Pleurotus ostreatus (oyster mushroom). RNAcentral describes it as "partial 18S ribosomal RNA". The record is from RNAcentral. Lineage: Eukaryota; Fungi; Basidiomycota; Agaricomycetes; Agaricales; Pleurotaceae. RNAcentral also lists the same sequence under 80 other names.